UCCAGACUCCUACGGGAGGCAGCAGUGGGGGAUAUUGCACAAUGGGGGGAACCCUGAUGCAGCGACGCCGCGUGGGUGAAGGAGCGUUUCGGCGCGUAAAGCCCUAUCGGCAGGGAAGAAGGAGGACGGUACCUGACUAAGAAGCCCCGGCUAACUACGUGCCAGCAGCCGCGGUAAUACGUAGGGGGCAAGCGUUAUCCGGAUUUACUGGGUGUAAAGGGGGCGCAGACGGCAGCGCAAGCCAGGAGUGAAAGCCCGGGGCCCAACCCCGGGACUGCGCUUGGAACUGCGCGGCUGGAGUGCAGGAGGGGCAGGCGGAAUUCCUGGUGUAGCGGUGAAAUGCGUAGAUAUCAGGAGGAACAUCGGUGGCGAAGGCGGCCUGCUGGACUGCGACUGACGUUGAGGCCCGAAAGCGUGGGGAGCAAACAGGAUUAGAUACCCCGGUAUG
RNAcentral lists this ribosomal RNA (448 nucleotides) under uncultured bacterium. RNAcentral describes it as "bacterial SSU rRNA". It matches the Rfam family "Bacterial small subunit ribosomal RNA", at positions 330 to 793 of the family's 1533-position model. The record is from RNAcentral.